UGGGGAAUCUUGGACAAUGGGGGGCAACCCUGAUCCAGCCAUGCCGCGUGAGUGAUGAAGGCCUUAGGGUCGUAAAGCUCUUUCGCCUGUGAAGAUAAUGACGGUAGCAGGUAAAGAAACCCCGGCUAACUCCGUGCCAGCAGCCGCGGUAAUACGGAGGGGGUUAGCGUUGUUCGGAAUUACUGGGCGUAAAGCGCACGUAGGCGGACCAGAAAGUUGGGGGUGAAAUCCCGGGGGCUCAACCCCGGAACUGCCUCCAAAACUAUUGGUCUAGAGUUCGAGAGAGGUGAGUGGAAUUCCAAGUGUAGAGGUGAAAUUCGUAGAUAUUUGGAGGAACACCAGUGGCGAAGGCGGCUCACUGGCUCGAUACUGACGCUGAGGUGCGAAAAGUGUGGGGGAGCAAAACAGGAUUAGAUACCCCUGGUAGUCCACACCGUAAAACGAUGAAUGCCAGUCGUCGGGUAGCAUGCUAUUCGGUGACACACCUAACGGAUUAAGCAUUCCGCCUGGGGAGUACGGUCGCAAGAUUAAAACUCAAAUGAAUUG
This 546-nucleotide ribosomal RNA is filed under the name uncultured bacterium. Its description in RNAcentral is "bacterial SSU rRNA". It matches the Rfam family "Bacterial small subunit ribosomal RNA", at positions 355 to 912 of the family's 1533-position model. The record is from RNAcentral.